GGUCGCGUGGCCCAAUGGCAAGGCGUUUGACUACGAUUUGAUAUCUAUCAAAAGAUUGCGAGUUCGAUCCUCGCCGUGACCU
RNAcentral lists this transfer RNA (82 nucleotides) under Hapsidospora chrysogenum ATCC 11550. RNAcentral's name for it is "Acremonium chrysogenum ATCC 11550 tRNA". It matches the Rfam family "tRNA". Rfam says of the family: Transfer RNA (tRNA) molecules are approximately 80 nucleotides in length. Their secondary structure includes four short double-helical elements and three loops (D, anti-codon, and T loops). Lineage: Eukaryota; Fungi; Ascomycota; Sordariomycetes; Hypocreales; Bionectriaceae. The record is from Rfam by way of RNAcentral.